Molecule: unclassified non-coding RNA, 117 nt
Organism: Macaca mulatta (Rhesus monkey)
Lineage: Eukaryota; Metazoa; Chordata; Mammalia; Primates; Cercopithecidae
Rfam family: Metazoan signal recognition particle RNA
About the family: The signal recognition particle (SRP) is a universally conserved ribonucleoprotein.
Source: Ensembl
GCCGGGCGCGGUGGCUCACGCCUGUAAUCCCAGCACUUUGGGAGGCCGAGGCGGGAGGAUCACCUGAGGUCAGGAGUUUCGGACCAGCCUGGCCAACAGGGUGACACCCCGUCUCUA